RNAcentral lists this ribosomal RNA (253 nucleotides) under uncultured bacterium. RNAcentral's name for it is "partial 16S ribosomal RNA". It matches the Rfam family "Bacterial small subunit ribosomal RNA", at positions 524 to 776 of the family's 1533-position model. The record is from RNAcentral.
UACGUAGGGUGCGAGCGUUAAUCGGAAUUACUGGGCGUAAAGCGUGCGCAGGCGGCUUUGCAAGACAGAUGUGAAAUCCCCGGGCUCAAGCUGGGAACUGCAUUUGUGACUGCAAGGCUAGAGUACGGCAGAGGGGGAUGGAAUUCCGCGUGUAGCAGUGAAAUGCGUAGAUAUGCGGAGGAACACCAAUGGCGAAGGCAAUCCCCUGGGCCUGUACUGACGCUCAUGCACGAAAGCGUGGGGAGCAAACAGG